AGAGUUUGAUCCUGGCUCAGAACGAACGCUGGCGGCGUACUUAACACAUGCAAGUCGAACGAGAACAGAAGCUUCGGCUUCCAAGUACAGUGGCGAACGGGUGCGUAACACGUAAGCAAUCUACCCCAGACAUUGGGAUAACUUCUCGAAAGGGGAGCUAAUACCGAAUAGUUCCCAAUAGCACAAGCUGUGGGGGGAAAGCGGGCCUCUAAACUAUGCUCGCGGUCUGGGAUGAGCUUGCGGUCCAUUAGCUUGUUGGUGGGGUAACGGCUUACCAAGGCAACGAUGGAUAGCUGGUCUGAGAGGAUGAUCAGCCACACUGGCACUGAGACACGGGCCAGACUCCUACGGGAGGCAGCAGUGGGGAAUUUUGCGCAAUGGGCGAAAGCCUGACGCAGUAACGCCGCGUGGAGGAUGAAGGCCUUUGGGUUGUAAACUCCUGCCAGGGGGGAAGAUAGCAUUGUUGCAAAUAGUUUCAGUGCUAUGACGGUACCCCCAAAGGAAGCCCCGGCUAAUUCCGUGCCAGCAACCGCGGUAAUACGGAAGGGGCAAGCGUUGUUCGGAAUUAUUGGGCGUAAAGGGCGCGUA
RNAcentral lists this ribosomal RNA (588 nucleotides) under uncultured bacterium. RNAcentral describes it as "bacterial SSU rRNA". It matches the Rfam family "Bacterial small subunit ribosomal RNA", at positions 8 to 573 of the family's 1533-position model. The record is from RNAcentral.